Long non-coding RNA from Linepithema humile (Argentine ant), 1502 nucleotides. RefSeq lists it as uncharacterized. The record is from RefSeq and is a predicted model, not a curated record. Lineage: Eukaryota; Metazoa; Arthropoda; Insecta; Hymenoptera; Formicidae.
UUAAUUUAUUAAUAAACUAAACAUGUUUAUGAUUGAUGUUACCAAGACAUCAAAACUGCAAAAUAUUACCGCCUGGAAGAUACACUUUAAUGAUAGCAUAUAUACGACACGUAAAUUAUAACAAAGAAUACUUUAUUACAUUUUUAUUCUCCAACCGAAGACUGGACAACAUAGAAGCUGAUAUUUUUCAUGUCGAACACUCAGAUUCCGUUGGGCAUAAAUUGAAAGUGGCAUGCCUUAUAACAAAUCAAAUAGUAUCUCUUUGGUAUAAUGAUGAGUUGCUAUGGUCGAAAGCAGGUUUUGUUACAUUGCUUGCAAUGUACAUCUUAUGUCAGAUUUCUCAAGAUUAUGACAUAAUGAAUUUAUUUAUCGUCGAAACAGAAACGGAAAUUUUUUCUUUUUGCUACUCUUUCAAAUAAAAAUGAAAAGAAUUCACUUAGUUAUCUUGUAGAUCAUUUAAAAUAUAUAAUCAAAUAACUGACUUAUGGAACAUAAUGCAAACUUUUAUACCAAAUAACUCAACCACAUUUAUUGUAAAAAGACUUAUAUCUGUUUGGAUAGCGGAAAAAUAUUAUCCUGUACUGUACGUGAUACGAAGUUAUUUGAAUAAUAGGACAAUAUUCAAAUAUCUCAAUUUCGAUUUUAUUGACGAGGAUACAGAAUAUCUUUCAGCAUUCGUGACGUAUACAACAAAAUAAAAAAUAAAUUUUUACGAUAUUUUUGCAAAUAAAUUCUUUUGACUAUCACCGCAGAAACCAGUAGUGCAAAAGUUUGAUGAAAAUGAUUGGAUUAUAGUCAAUUUACAACAAACAGGAUAUUAUCGUGUUAAUUAUGAUACUGACAAUUGGCUUAAACUUGCGCCGUACAUGAAUUCUACGAAAUAUAUCGACAUACAUGUUCUCAAUCGAGCGCAAAUCAUAGAUGAUGCGUUUCACUUGUUCAUACGUUAUCAACUUGAUUAUGCUACGUUUUGGAAAAUUACCGAAUUUUUAGCGCUAGAAACGAAUUAUGUAGUAUGGUAUCCGAUGUUUAAAGCUUUUAAACAUAUGACUUUUAUAGUUUCAAUUAAAGAUGCUAAAGACGUAAUGGUAGAUAAUAUCAAAUUUCUAUAAGAAAGAUUGCAUCAUAAUAUUAUGUUUACAGGGUAAUUCAAUACAACCUGAUAUCCUUGAAAUGUCGUAUUUUUGAGCAACAUUUAAAAUAAUUUUCUGUUUAGCAAAUUUUUGUCCAAAGGUUAGUUUUUGAGAUAUAAUUGAAAAUAAUUUGUUACUCGUACAUAUGUGAGUCCGGUGUGAUGGGCAGGCAGGGACUGUGCAACGCAUCAUAAAAGUAACGUAACACUUCACAGUCACAGUGUGUGUGAGUGUGAGUAGCGAAGUAUUUUUAAUUAUAAAGAAAAGCCUAAGUUUCGGACAAAAUUUUGCAAAAAGAACAAUCGUUUUAGAAAUUGCUCAAGGAUAUGAUAUUUCAAGAACAUCAGGUUGUUUUGAUUCAUUUUGUAU